This 486-nucleotide ribosomal RNA is filed under the name uncultured bacterium. Its description in RNAcentral is "partial 16S ribosomal RNA". It matches the Rfam family "Bacterial small subunit ribosomal RNA", at positions 28 to 523 of the family's 1533-position model. The record is from RNAcentral.
GACGAACGCUGGCGGCGUGCUUAACACAUGCAAGUCGAACGGUGACCCUCGGAGCUUGCUUCUGGGUGAGCAGUGGCGAACGGGUGGGUAACACGUGAGUAACCUGCCCCUGACUCUGGAAUAAGCGCUGGAAACGGCGUCUAAUACCGGAUACGACACGCCUCCGCAUGGGGAGCGUGUGGAAAGUUUUUCGGUCUGGGAUGGACUCGCGGCCUAUCAGCUUGUUGGUGAGGUAAUGGCUCACCAAGGCGAUGACGGGUAGCCGGCCUGAGGGGGCGACCGGCCACACUGGGACUGAGACACGGCCCAGAGCCCUACGGGAGGCAGCAGUGGGAAAUAUUGCACAAUGGGCGAAAGCCUGAUGCAGCGACGCCGCGUGAGGGAUGACGGCCUUCGGGUUGUAAACCUCUUUCAGCAGGGAAGAAGCGAAAGUGACGGUACCUGCAGAAGAAGCACCGGCUAACUACGUGCCAGCCGCCGCCGUAA